ACUACCAAUUAUUACUAUGUUCUACAUACAAUUAAUUAGUUUAGUACUAGAUAUUAACCCGCGGUAUACCGCGGACCUAUAUUUUUAUUAAAUAAAAAUAAUUGAAUAUUUUUUAGGAUGAUUUAAUAAAUUUAUGCUAUUUUUUUAUUUAAAUGUAUAAUUCACCGCGAGACGAAAUUUUAUAACUCAAAUUUUAAAGUUUUAAGUUGUAUUUGUUUAUUUUGUUAAAUGUUUAAUAUUGUAUAAUUAUAUUUUGAUUGUUGUUUUUCGGAUUUCACCCGUAGUACACCAUCUCAUAUUAAUAUCGAAUCAAACCCGUCAAUUCUAGGAUUUCACCCGUAGUAAUAUCUAAUUGUAUAAUUAUAUUUUAAUUGUCAUUCUAGGAUUUCACUCCUAAUUCUAUCGCAAAUUAUUAUCAACCCAAACCAGUCAAUUCUAAAAUAUCACCCGUAGUACACCAUCCCAUAUUAAUAUCGAAUCAAGCCCGUCAAUUCUAGGAUUUCACCCGUGGUAGUAUUUAAUUGUAUAAUUAUAUUUUAAUUGUCAUUCUAGGAUUUCACUCCUAAUUCUAUCGCAAAUUAUUAUCAACCCAAACCAGUCAAUUCUAAAAUAUCACCCGUAGUACACCAUCCCAUAUUAAUAUCGAAUCAAACCCGUCAAUUCUAGGAUUUCACCCGUGGUAAUAUUUAAUUGUAUAAUUAUAUUUUAAUUGUCAUUCUAGGAUUUCACUCCUAAUUCUAUCGUAAAUUAUUAUCAACCCAAACCAGUCAAUUCUAAAAUAUCACCCGUAGUACACCAUCCCAUAUUAAUAUCGAUUCAAACUCGUCAAUUCUAGGAUUUCACUCGUGGUAGUAUUUAAUUGUAUAAUUAUAUUUUGAUUGUCAUUCUAGGAUUUAACUCCUAGUUCUAUCGCAAAUUCUUAUCAACCCAAACAGUCAAUUCUAAAAUUUCACCCGUAGUAUAAAGUUUAAAUAUUUAUAAUGUUUAAAUUUU
Molecule: small RNA, 993 nt
Filed under: Arabidopsis thaliana (thale cress)
Lineage: Eukaryota; Viridiplantae; Streptophyta; Magnoliopsida; Brassicales; Brassicaceae
Description: ATSL023950
Source: RNAcentral